RNAcentral lists this ribosomal RNA (250 nucleotides) under uncultured bacterium. RNAcentral describes it as "partial 16S ribosomal RNA". It matches the Rfam family "Bacterial small subunit ribosomal RNA", at positions 524 to 773 of the family's 1533-position model. The record is from RNAcentral.
AACGUAGGGGGCGAGCGUUAUCCGGAAUCACUGGGCGUAAAGGGCGUCUAGGCGGUAGGGUAAGUCCUGCGUGAAAGCUCCCGGCUCAACUGGGAGAGCGCGUGGGAGACUGCUCGGCUAGAGACUCGGAGAGGGGUGUGGAAUUCCCGGUGGAGUGGUGAAAUGCGUUGAGAUCGGGAGGAACACCAGUGGCGAAGGCGGCACCCUGGCCGAGGUCUGACGCUGAAGCGCGACAGCGUGGGGAGCAAAC